AUACGGAGGGGGCUAGCGUUGUUCGGAUUUACUGGACGUAAAGGGCGCGUAGGCGGCUACGCAAGUCGGACGUGAAAUCCCUCGGCUCAACUGAGGAACUGCGUCCGAAACUGCGUAGCUCGAGUCCCGGAGAGGGUAGCGGAAUUCCCAGUGUAGCGGUGAAAUGCGUAGAUAUUGGGAGGAACACCAGUGGCGAAGGCGGCUACCUGGACGGGUACUGACGCUGAGGCGCGAAAGCUAGGGGAGCAAACAGGAUUAGAAACCCCAGUAGUCC
This 274-nucleotide ribosomal RNA is filed under the name uncultured bacterium. RNAcentral describes it as "partial 16S ribosomal RNA". It matches the Rfam family "Bacterial small subunit ribosomal RNA", at positions 523 to 796 of the family's 1533-position model. The record is from RNAcentral.